CUCUCGCUGACACCGCUGACCCGCCUUCGUCCUUAACCAUCAGCCGGACUCCCAUCCGUGCACGAAGCUGCAGCGAGCCCGAUCCAAAUCCCGCGAGAUUCGCCCGAUCCCGAAUCCCUCGCUCCAACCCGCGGGCACCAAGAGACUCCUCUCAACCCCCUUGACCGAUUCCCACAAUCACCGCUUGAGGCCCGCCCCGAUUUCGUGCUCGCUGGCCUCGAGAAGAUCCGCCGAAGAGCCAAAACUCCGGCGAGUGAAUCGGUCAUCUCCGCGCCGAACCGAGCUCCUAGAAGAAGCCCCGAAGGCCACAGGCACCAAUCGCUGCCCCUGUUCAUCCGCUCCCGCCGUCGAUGCAGGACGCACCGGGGAACUCCGACGACUCCCCUGAUUCUUUCGUGCCACGCCCAACCUCCCCGUGCACUUCCCUAAGUCAAAGAACCACCGGAGACGCCUUCUCGUCGACGCCUGAGACCACCGCCGUUCAAAUCCGGCGAACCUCCGGUGAGGAAAUUUCCCCUCUGCCCAAAUCCUAUGACGUGGCAUCAUCUCAGCCACCCGUGCUCACUUAAAUCCGAUGGUCUAUGUUAUUUCCUCAACUAAUCGGUAACGACGAAUGUCCUACUGCCACGUGUCCACAAAUUUUGUUUUAAUCUUUUUCGGCUGAGGCUAGUUGUAAUGGGAGUAUCAUAGGUAGUAUCAUGCAUGCCAACUAGGCAAAUUUGAUGAGGAGACAUAGAAUUAAAUGAAGAAAGAGAGGAUUGAGUAUCAUAUCAUGAUACCGUAUCAUAUUAAAUGUUGUGCUACUAUGUGUCAUGCAUGCUAAUAAAUGAAGUCAUCUAUGAUACUUACA
Triticum urartu is the source of this 850-nucleotide non-coding RNA. Lineage: Eukaryota; Viridiplantae; Streptophyta; Magnoliopsida; Poales; Poaceae. The record is from RefSeq and is a predicted model, not a curated record.